GUCAGUGUGGAGAAAGGGAGGUUGUAGGAUGUUAGUGCUUCAGAGGAAAACAACAACGAGCUUUUCUCUCCUCUCUGGGGAUCCUGGUCAGCUUCACAUUGGUGGCCCAGAAAUCAGUCUCAGCCCCUCCCAGUAUGGACCGCUCCUUGACAGCCGCCCUCUCUCCUAUAAAGGCAGAUGCAAGCUACGUUUGUGUGGGGAUGACACAGCACAAAGGCCCUUGCCAGAUGUGAGCCCCUUGAUAUUGGAUUUCCCAGUCUUCAGAACUGUCGAAAAGCCCAGGAAUGUUCUAGAAUAUAUGAUUGGCGAGGACCCUCACUGGUGCCAUCCACAUCUUCUCUUCAGGACUGGGAACGUUGGCAGCUGAUGAUCCUCUGGGAAGUUCCUUGGUCGGAUCCCAGGGUGCUCACCAAUCC
Molecule: long non-coding RNA, 416 nt
Filed under: Homo sapiens (human)
Lineage: Eukaryota; Metazoa; Chordata; Mammalia; Primates; Hominidae
Description: non-protein coding lnc-TPD52-3:3
Source: RNAcentral